Ipomoea nil (Japanese morning glory) is the source of this 164-nucleotide long non-coding RNA. RefSeq lists it as uncharacterized. Lineage: Eukaryota; Viridiplantae; Streptophyta; Magnoliopsida; Solanales; Convolvulaceae. The record is from RefSeq and is a predicted model, not a curated record. The transcript is spliced from 3 exons.
AGAGUUAUUCAUCUUGGGAGGUCGGCUAUUUCUGUUGGUUUGGAUACUAAGCGGUUGCAGAUGUCUUGGCGGGAUUCCAAGAAUAAGACUGAUUGUGGAGUCUAUCUUAUGCAUCAUAUGGAAUCUUAUGUAGGCCAGCGAUGUCUAAGCAUGGAAAUGUGGCC